Molecule: ribosomal RNA, 484 nt
Filed under: uncultured bacterium
Lineage: Bacteria
Description: partial 16S ribosomal RNA
Rfam family: Bacterial small subunit ribosomal RNA
Source: RNAcentral
GAUGAACGCUGGCGGCGUGCUUAACACAUGCAAGUCGAACGAGAGAAGAUUGGUGCUUGCACUGAUCCGAUCGAGUGGCGGACGGGUGAGUAACGCGUGGGUAACCUGCCUCAUACAGGGGAAUAACAGUUGGAAACGGCUGCUAAAACCGCAUAAGCGCACAGUAUCGCAUGAUACAGUGUGAAAAACUCCGGUGGUAUGAGAUGGACCCGCGUCUGAUUAGCUAGUUGGUGAGGUAACGGCCCACCAAGGCAACGAUCAGUAGCCGGCCUGAGAGGGUGAACGGCCACAUUGGGACUGAGACACGGCCCAAACUCCUACGGGAGGCAGCAGUGGGGAAUAUUGCACAAUGGGGGAAACCCUGAUGCAGCGACGCCGCGUGAGUGAUGAAGUAUUUCGGUAUGUAAAGCUCUAUCAGCAGGGAAGAUAAUGACGGUACCUGACUAAGAAGCACCGGCUAAAUACGUGCCAGCAGCCGCCGUAA